This 1004-nucleotide long non-coding RNA is filed under the name Mus spicilegus (steppe mouse). RNAcentral's name for it is "lncRNA (ENSMSIG00000019872.1)". Lineage: Eukaryota; Metazoa; Chordata; Mammalia; Rodentia; Muridae. The record is from RNAcentral.
AAAUUAUACUAAUUUAUGGUGUACAAGACUUAGGGUGUCUAUCUCUUUAGAAAGAACAAGCUUACAGUCUCUCUCUUAUGUAGAUCCUUGGAAUGUUGGACCAGAUGUAGAUAGCAGAGCAUAGCGACCAGAAGACAGUAAGGGAGGAAGGAGAGUUUUGCAAAAGGGGGCAAAGGUUCAGAAGGGGAGGAAUCAAGUGGAGGACUAGGCUACAGCUAGGUAGCUUAGUGCUAAGGCUGCCUAUAGCAAGAUGAAUAACAGGCCUUUUCAUGUGUCUUCUUUGAAGUGGUGAAGUAGACAAGACCUGGUGCAGAUGGACAGCCACUGAAGGGAGCCAGACCAGAAUGUCAGGGUGCUUCGUGCCCACACACCCAGGGCACAGGCUCCCAUAGUCAUUCUCUUCCAUUAGGUCUUCACUGUUGGCUCCCUGCUUGCUCAGCCCAGCAUUGCUGGCUGCACAGAGAGAUGGUGCCAUGUGACAUUCACCUGAUGAAGGCCUACCUCCCUAGCUCCUGCAGAACAUCUACCCCCGAAAGCAAGACUGACUGGAACACAGCCUCCUGUGAUGAUGUCCCUUCCUCUCCCAGGGUCCCACAGACACAAUUCCUCAACGCUUACUGGACUACAUUUUGAGAUUGUUUUGGUUCACUGUGCCAAGGGAUAUUGGCACAGCUCUGAACACACUUUCUGUGAUGACUGAUUGGUGUUCAUCUUGUGGCCCUCCUAGGUGAAGAGAAGGCCAGGUGUCUAGGGAUGAAGUCCAUCCAGCCCAUGGCAGCAAGUUUCAUGAUGGAGCACACAUUGUUAGGGCACACACAGAGGUAUGCAUGUGGUGCUAACUUCCCUGAAUGUUGUCCGCGCAUGGCUUUGGUUUUCUACUGGAGAACAGAGAGUUAGGGAGAGGAAGGGUCCUUGAAUCUAGCACCUUCACCAGUUGCUUAUCUAUAUCUUCCACACCUGGCUGGUAGGGAGCUGAUGCAUUUCCUAGCUGUCUCUGGGUAUCA